AAAGUCGUAACAAGGUUUCCGUAGGUGAACCUGCGGAAGGAUCAUCAACAAUGAUUUAUUCUGUUUUGAGGAUUGUAAACGCUGAUUGGUGGGCUCUGUCAUGGUAAUACGUGAUGAGACCACCAACACUAUACACACACACACACUGUACUUAAACACACAAACUAAUACAACUUUCAACAAUGGAUCUCUAGGCUCUC
This 200-nucleotide unclassified non-coding RNA is filed under the name Basidiomycota sp. Its description in RNAcentral is "partial contains small subunit ribosomal RNA, internal transcribed spacer 1, and 5.8S ribosomal RNA". The stretch from base 1 to 47 matches the Rfam family "Eukaryotic small subunit ribosomal RNA", at positions 1785 to 1831 of the family's 1831-position model. The record is from RNAcentral. Lineage: Eukaryota; Fungi; Basidiomycota.